UGGUGGAGUGAUUUGUCUGCUUAAUUGCGUUAACGAACGAGACCUUCACCUGCUAAAUAGCUACCCGCACCCCGGUGCGGGGCCAGCUUCUUAGAGGGACUCUGCCUGCUAAGGGCAGGGAAGCUGGAGGCAAUAACA
This 138-nucleotide ribosomal RNA is filed under the name uncultured eukaryote. RNAcentral's name for it is "partial 18S ribosomal RNA". It matches the Rfam family "Eukaryotic small subunit ribosomal RNA", at positions 1299 to 1458 of the family's 1831-position model. The record is from RNAcentral.